AACGCACAUUGCGCCCGCCGGUAUUCCGGCGGGCAUGCCUGUUCGAGCGUCAUUUUCACCAAUCAAGCCUGGCUUGGUAUUGGGCGCCCGCGGUUCGCCGCGCGCCUCAAAGUCCCCGGCAGAGCAGCCCGUCUCCGAGCGUUUGACAUCCAUCUCGCUUGCCCGACGGGGGGUUCUCGCCGUUAAAACUUUAUACAGGUUGACCUCGGAUCAGGUAGGGAUACCCGCUGAACUUAA
This 237-nucleotide unclassified non-coding RNA is filed under the name uncultured Capnodiales. Its description in RNAcentral is "sequence contains 5.8S rRNA gene, ITS2, 28S rRNA gene". The stretch from base 1 to 52 matches the Rfam family "5.8S ribosomal RNA", at positions 103 to 154 of the family's 154-position model. Lineage: Eukaryota; Fungi; Ascomycota; Dothideomycetes; Capnodiales. The record is from RNAcentral.